CACAGUAGUCUGGCGCUGCAGAGGAAACUGCUAAUAUGCACAAUAAAGUCGAAAGAGAGGCUGGGGAAAUAGGAGGCAGCGCGCAUGAAGUGGAGACAGCAUUACCGCUCGGAGCUUUUCCACAGCGCAGGAAAUUCUUCUGCAAGUCAAAACCUGUGGAGGUUCCUGGUCGUGCAAUGCUGUGGCAGUGGUUUAACUGGGCUACUGCUUGAGAGUAGAAGAGCAGGCUGACAAAACUACCGAUGCAGAGGAGCGCACCAGGCGCAAAUACGCGCUCUAGAAAGACGAGGCAGCAAGAUACACGACGCAGGCCUGCAAACAACCAGCAGAAUACAACCAUGGGUACACUCAACGGACCUGUGGGACCCCUAGCAUGGUCCCCCAUGACCACAGAGUACCAGGAGAAGUUCCUCCCUCCCCAGCGGUACAAAACUAUCAUCACCACCUCAGGGAUGAAGGAGCCCUACCAUUCGCUGAAGGGCACGAGUGCAGAUAUCCGCACCUUAAGAUCCUGCUUCGUUGACCAAAACUGCCGUAAAAUCCCACCACAGGCCCCACAGCCUCCACAGCCUCUCAAAGACUACAGAAAGAGGGCCAGCAGCGUCACACGCCCUCCUGUUUGUACCAUGGCCCCCCAGAUGCCACCCAAGCAGGACUUUGUAACUGUGUAUCAAAGUGAUUUCCAACCUUGGGUGGUGAGCAAGCUGAAGCCACAUCGGCUGAAAGACAACUUCAACAUAAAGCAUGGAAUAGUUGCCUUGGAUUAUCCUCAUGAGCAAGAGAGAAGAUCCACAGCCAACUCUACUGGCGUCCCACAGGAUGUCUCCCACCCUGUGCAGCCCAGACCCAGCCAAGUUGAGCCACCGGAGCCGAGAGCAGCAUCCUUCCAACCAAAGGCGGCUUCACACAUAAACAAAGAACGUCUUGACAAAUCCAGUGACUUCUUUGACAAAUUCCAAUCCUGGUCCCUUGAAACCAAGUUCUACGGCCAACCCAAAGAGCCCGGUCAACCAGAACAUCACUGGUUUGUCCAAAUGACACACAAGUCCCACAGCACAAAGCCAAUUCUGCCGUCUGUGCAAACCAGCAUGAACAGUGCAUAACCCGUCCGUGGGAAUACCAUGAAGGAGGACUGUAGAGCUUGGAGUGCACCACAGGUCACGAAAAAACCUUCGAGCAGAUGUCCCAAACUAAACAACACUGCAGGCUCUAAUUCCAACUGUGACGCCACAAACAAACUUCCGUUUCCCAAGAGAAUGGAGUCUUUGCAGAGUUCGAGUCACUGCACUGAGAACGAAGUGACCUGGAUGUUCUGGUCCAGCUGUCUGGACACUGGAAAGACUGGAGGUGGCAGUUGUGUCGAGCCUCCUCGAAGCCACCACUGCCCAGUUUCCAGAAGAAACUAAAAGCGGCUAACAAGAUGUGGUGCUGCCACAGACUACCUCGGGUAGCUUCUACCCUUGCAUCAAUAAGAAGCCAUAAAUAGCAGUAAUAAUGUGUAAUGGCAGCUAUUUUUAUACGAGCAUCUGACUGACACAUCCCAUUUGAUUGUUAUAUAAUGAGCAAAAUCAAAGCCAGCUAAAAGUGGACUUCCUCUGAUUAUCGAAAGGUGUUUCUGAAUCCGCUGAAUCACCUGGAGAACAGAAUGUAGAUUAGAUGUCAAAAGCAC
Amphiprion ocellaris (clown anemonefish) is the source of this 1669-nucleotide long non-coding RNA. Lineage: Eukaryota; Metazoa; Chordata; Actinopteri; Pomacentridae. The record is from Ensembl.